GACGAACGCUGGCGGCGUGCCUAACACAUGCAAGUCGAGCGGGGAGAUCCUUUCGGGGAUCUUCUAGCGGCGGACGGGUGAGUAACGCGUGAGCAAUCUGUCCCAUACAGGGGGAUAACAGCUGGAAACAGCUGCUAAUACCGCAUGAGACCACAGAGCCGCAUGGCUUAGGGGUCAAAGGAGCAAUCCGGUAUGGGGUGAGCUCGCGUCUGAUUAGAUAGUUGGUGAGGUAACGGCCCACCAAGUCAACGAUCAGUAGCCGACCUGAGAGGGUGAUCGGCCACAUUGGAACUGAGACACGGUCCAA
Molecule: ribosomal RNA, 307 nt
Filed under: uncultured bacterium
Lineage: Bacteria
Description: bacterial SSU rRNA
Rfam family: Bacterial small subunit ribosomal RNA
Source: RNAcentral